This 30-nucleotide non-coding RNA is filed under the name Rattus norvegicus (Norway rat). Lineage: Eukaryota; Metazoa; Chordata; Mammalia; Rodentia; Muridae. The record is from RNAcentral.
UGCUUUUGUGGUUGCCUGAGCCUUAGCUUU